This 246-nucleotide ribosomal RNA is filed under the name uncultured bacterium. RNAcentral's name for it is "partial 16S ribosomal RNA". It matches the Rfam family "Bacterial small subunit ribosomal RNA", at positions 15 to 244 of the family's 1533-position model. The record is from RNAcentral.
GAUCAUGGCUCAGGAUUAACGCUGGCGGCGUGCAUAACACAUGCAAGUCGAACGAUGAAACUUUAAUGAACCCUUCGGGGAGAAUUAAAGCGGAUUAGUGGCGAACGGGUGAGUAACGCGUGAGUAACCUGCCUUACACAAGGGGAUAGCCUUUGGAAACGAAGAAUAAUACCCUAUAAAACCAUAAAAGCACAUGCAAUUAUGGUCAAAGUGAUAGCGGUGUAAGAUGGACUUGCGUCUGAUUAG